UCGGGAAUUUUGGGCAAUGGGCGAAAGCCUGACCCAGCAACGCCGCGUGAAGGAUGAAGUAUUUCGGUAUGUAAACUUCGAAAGAAUAGGAAGAAUAAAUGACGGUACUAUUUAUAAGGUCCGGCUAACUACGUGCCAGCAGCCGCGGUAAUACGUAGGGACCAAGCGUUGUUCGGAUUUACUGGGCGUAAAGGGCGCGUAGGCGGCAAUUCAAGUCAUCUGUGAAAUCUCCGGGCUUAACUCGGAACGGUCAGAUGAUACUGCUUUGCUAGAGUGCAGAAGGGGCAAUCGGAAUUCUUGGUGUAGCGGUGAAAUGCGUAGAUAUCAAGAGGAACACCUGAGGUGAAGACGGGUUGCUGGGCUGACACUGACGCUGAGGCGCGAAAGCCAGGGGAGCAAACGGGAUUAGAUACCCAUGUAGUCCCUGAGCGGGCUGGCAAGGCGC
This 445-nucleotide ribosomal RNA is filed under the name uncultured bacterium. Its description in RNAcentral is "bacterial SSU rRNA". It matches the Rfam family "Bacterial small subunit ribosomal RNA", at positions 355 to 823 of the family's 1533-position model. The record is from RNAcentral.